GAGGGUAUCGCUCAAGUGGUAGAGUGCAUGCUUAGCAUGUGCAAGGUCCUGGGUUCAAUCCCCAGUGCCCCCU
RNAcentral lists this transfer RNA (73 nucleotides) under Camelus ferus (Wild Bactrian camel). It matches the Rfam family "tRNA". From Rfam's summary of the family: Transfer RNA (tRNA) molecules are approximately 80 nucleotides in length. Their secondary structure includes four short double-helical elements and three loops (D, anti-codon, and T loops). Further hydrogen bonds mediate the characteristic L-shaped molecular structure. tRNAs have two regions of fundamental functional importance: the anti-codon, which is responsible for specific mRNA codon recognition, and the 3' end, to which the tRNAs corresponding amino acid is attached (by aminoacyl-tRNA synthetases). tRNAs cope with the degeneracy of the genetic code in two manners: having more than one tRNA (with a specific anti-codon) for a particular amino acid; and 'wobble' base-pairing, i.e. permitting non-standard base-pairing at the 3rd anti-codon position. The record is from Rfam by way of RNAcentral. Lineage: Eukaryota; Metazoa; Chordata; Mammalia; Artiodactyla; Camelidae.